RNAcentral lists this long non-coding RNA (39045 nucleotides) under Arabidopsis lyrata. RNAcentral's name for it is "long non-coding RNA (ALYR_LNC001530)". Lineage: Eukaryota; Viridiplantae; Streptophyta; Magnoliopsida; Brassicales; Brassicaceae. The record is from RNAcentral.
CUGUCAGUUAUUACUCGAUGCCGGUUUUGCGUUCAAGCUACUGAUAACACUGGUAAACCAGCAAGUACCACUCCAGCUCGGGACAAAAACAAACCUACAUUAGAUAGAUAUUACAAGUCUGUCUACUUUAUCCUCCACGACAAAUUCUGGAUUGGCCACGGCCUAGUCAAUUCUGAUUGGGCAAAGUUGGAAGAAGAAUUUAAUCAUAUUGGGAAACCAUCUCCUAAGCCCAAAGGAAUAAUUGAUACAGUUCCCUUCAUUUCGUCUGGGACCAAGGUAUCUAUCUCUGCUUUGGUCUUUGUCAUUUCUUAACUUGUUGAUUUUGUAACAUGAGCUUGUGUUUAACCAAUGAUGCAGCUGGCCCAACUUGCUGUACUCUUUGGCUUGGGUGAGCCAUCACUUGGGUACUAUAACAAUUGCGAAGAAAAUUACGAUGCUAUCAAGCAAUGCAGAGACGCGAUGCCAAUUUUAGAUAUGGAGAAGGAGAAGGAUAUGGGGAGUAAUAUCUAUCCCAUGAUUUCUCAUCUGAGGAAAUUUCAGCAGCCACCAGAAAAAGCAACAACUAAAUCAGCAAGGGGUAGUGAACCAAGAAAAAGUCAAAAACUGGAGGGUAAGGAAAAGGAUUUUCUUGUCACGAAUCAAAUACAAUGUCGUUUAGAAUUCAUAGCUCAGAGUAAUUGUUUUCUUUUGGGUUCAUCUGUUAGGAAAAGAGAAUCCCCCUCGGAAAUCUUUAGCUGAAUCUCCAUCUUCUCUAGAAGAGAGAUUGUUGGUCGCGAUGAAGGUAAAAAAGCUGCUUCUGGAAUUUUGUUCUUUGUUUGUGUGUUUGUCUGAUUUCCGGAUUUGGAGUUGGAAGUGAAUUAAAUCUCUCUCAUGUGUAUUUUUUUUUACCGAUGCUGGAGAGGGAGGACCGUGUUACUUUCUUCGAUUUCAAAAAAGGUAGUAACGGGUUGCUGCAUUUCGGUGGAAUGGAAGUGACUUCCAAGACGCUGGCAGUUAUUACUGAAACCGGGUUUUGCGUUCAAGCUACUCAGAUAAAUGGUAGACCUGCAAGAAACACUCCAGCUUGGUUAAAAAAUGAACCUACAUUAUCUGAAUCCUACAACCGUGUCUACUAUAUGCUCCACAACAAAACCUGGAUUGGCCACGACCUGCGCAAAUCCGAUUUUCCAAUGUUGGAAAAAGAAUGUAAGCAUAUUGGGAAAUCACCACCUAGGCCCAAAGAAAUAAUUGAUACUGUUCCCUUCAUUUCGUCCGGGUCCAAGGUAAUCUAUCUAUCAUCUCUGCUUUGGUCUUUGUCAUUUGGUAACUUGUUUUAUUUUGUAACAUGAGAAAGUUGUGUUUAACACCAGCUGGGCAAACUUGCUGUACUCCUUGGUUUGGGUAAGCCAGCAGCACGGCUGGACUGUAGGAAUUGCCAAGUCAAUUAUAAUGCUAUCAAGAAAUGCAGAGACGCGAUGCCAAUUUUAGAUGUAAGUUUAUUAUAUAAGGCACAAAAAGGUACAGAAAUCCGAAAUCCACUCUUGUUUGUUUUGUUUUUUGGUUUGCAGGUGGAGAUCGAGCAGGAUAAGGAGAGUAAUAUGCAUCCCAUGAUUUCUCUUAUUAAGAAAUAUCAGCAGCCACCAGAAGAAGAAACAAGUAUUCUUUUUGGUCAUGAAGAAGAAACAACUAAAAGGAAAAGUCCUCAAGGAAAAGUCAAAGAUGGGGGAGUAAGGAAAAGUCUAAGACUUAAGGAGGCAAGUCAGAGACUGAAGAAGAAGUCGAUGUAACUUUCUUGACUCAGUUAGCUUCAAAUACAUUAUCAGGUUUCGGUUUUAUGAUGAAUUUUGUCUCCAAUGGUAUUCAUAUGUAUGGAAAUGGGCUCCAAAACUUUCCUUUUACAUCUCUAAGUUAAGAGGUUGGAGGUUAUAAUUUUGAAUUAUUAAGUUGUCAUGUCCCCUCCUCUUUCUAGAAAUUAUGAAUCGGAAGAAUGUUUCUGAAUUGAAAAAUAGCCGGAGGUUUUGGUCCAUUGAGUUACUGCUUCAUUCAUUUUUUCGGUCUACUUUUCGACUUUAAAGUAAGCAGCAUGCAAAAGAAGGCAGGAAAUGUCGUGGGUUUGGUUCAAGAUUUAACCAUUGAGUCAUUUAUUUUGUCGUAUUUUUAAUUAACCGACAACUCAACAUAGCACUUGCUAGAAGGCAAUCAUUUGUAUAUCUCUUAUACAAAAAAGGAUGGUUAUAUUAACUUAUUUGUUAUGGUAAAAAGGAUGGUUAUAUUGGUUUGUGAACAAAUUGAUUUGUUAUUGUAUGGGUGUAUAUAAUUAUUCUCCUUCGCAAAUAGCGAGUUGAAACAUGGAAAAGAAGCCAGUGGAUUUAAAUUGGCUGUACUAAACUGGUUUGUCUUCCGAUAUCCAAACCAGGGGUCAUAAAGUUUUGGAAUCCUCUGUUUUUUUUUUUUUUUUAAUGAAAGGUAGAUUAUAUGCAAAUAAUGAUUUAAAAAAAUAAUGAGUUUUGAAACUAAAUGUUUUUAGAAACACAGAUUAAAUAAAGGCACGUGCUCUGCAAAUGGCUACCAAAAAUAAUUAAAUCUUACUAUAAAAAACAAAAUAUGAUAAAAACAUAAUUAACUAAAAGAUUCAAUCGAUUGUUUAAUACACUAAAAAUAAUCCUUGUUACGCAUCAAUUUGGUAAGAACUCUUUUUUUUUCUUUUUUUUUUCUUUUCUUUUUGAUAAAUACACACAUAAACUAAAACCCUAACCAAUGGUAACAAACGAACUUUGGAAAAUCAUAUAGAACAAUGUUAAUGAACACAUGCCAUCAAUAAGGAAAGUAACGGCUGCAUACUACUGCACAAAGAGGAAUAACAAAACUUAGCAACAUAGUAACACUAAUAUUAUCACAAAAUAUAAAAACCAAAACAAAGCUCGAAAAGAUUAUUAUACAUGGCACAUGAUUCGGUUCUUUCAACACAAGAGCAAAAAGUUCAGAACAUUUUUUCAUAUUUUCAUACUUUCUACUUACUUCCAGUUGUCUGAACAAGCAAAUAGCUUUAGAAAAAUAUAUUUUUAUUGCCCUCAUUUUUAUGGAUAUUUACACAUAAUUGCUAUUGAAUGAUUAAGGAAUAUUUAUUUUCAAUUAAUUAAAAAAAAUCCAACAUUUCAAUUUUAAAAUAUAUUUUAAUUAUUUUAUAAUAUAUUUAAUGAUUAUAACAUUAUUAGAUCUAAAACAUUUUCCAAUUAAAAAAAAACUGAUUACUAUUCACAUAUUUAAAAUUUCCAAAAAAAACUAUCAUUACUAUAGGAAAUUGACUUAUUUAAUACCUUAUUUAAUACCAUUGAUAUAAUAUUUCACGGUGAAACAUAUUCUUACACAAAAAAAAAAAAAAAAAUCUUGCAUAGAUUGAAGAAAUAGCGGAUUAUAUAUUUAGUUGGUACAUAGUAGUUUGAUCUAAACAUAUUCUCACGGGUUAUAUAUUUCGUUUUUACACAAACAAAUUUUAGAUCCUCAAAACUAACUUUACUCAUAACACUAAUUUUAUCUGCGUAGAUUUAUCCUGCACAUAGUGCACGUUGUUACCUAGUGCAAUUAGUAACCAAAAAGUAAAAAGUAAAUAGAACAUAACAAAAAAUGAUUUCUUCAAUUCCUUCUUCCCCCAAUGCUUUCAACCCGUAAAAAUUGAAAAGUAAUUGGAAUGAGAAAGAGAAAAUGAGCAAUUAGAACAGUGCUUCGACUCCUUCUGCUCACAGUGCUCUCAACUCCUAAGAAAAACUUGAAAACUAAUUAGAACGGAAAAGAGAAAAUGAGCAACUGAUCCAAUCAUGUAAAAUACCAACAAAAGAGCUUCACGUCUGGAGAAGAAAUCACUUUCAUAGAUAUACCACUAGGUUCGCUAAAUGUUGUCAAACUAUUUUGAAAACAAAAACAGUUAGUAACCAGAUAAUUAAUCCAGUGAUAUCCAAAAGCGAUAUAUAUUAUCCGAUGUACAAAUGACAUGAUCCUAUAAAAAACAAGUGAGUUACCUAAUCAAGGGGUGAGAAUCUAGCUACGACCUCGUCAAGACACCUAAUCGAAAUAGAGCCCUGCCAAAGAUGAAGUAAGUAGUCAAGAAAACAAUAAAACAUAAAUUCAAAUUAAACAACAGAGCGCCAACAAACAACCAAAUAAAUCCAAAGAGAGAGGAGCAGAGACAAAGAAACAGAAUAAAGGAAACCAAUCAUUUGAAACUAUUCCUUAAGGCAACUGAACUGGUUUGAGAAAUGUUUCCUUCUGCAAAUUGGAAAACAGAGAAAAAAGAGAGAAUUAAGUAAGCAAACGUUUACAGAAAGUUAUUCACCUAUUCGGAAAAGCUAAAAUCAACAAAACCAAACAAAAAAAAAUUGGAAAAUACUUAAAACCCGUAAAACCAUAAUUAAACAGCCAUAAGACAUUACAUGACAACUGACAAAUCAAACCUCUGCAUCAAUAAUUUAAAAUAACAAAAAAAAAGAAGAAGUAAUUAACACGUAAACAGAAUAAAACCAGAGACACAAUUUAGAAACCAAAACUUAGAAUACAAGUGUUUUAGAAGCUCGACAACCUAAAUCAAGUGGCUAAUAUUAGAAAGAAACAGACGAAACCCCAAAAAGAAAGAGACCAAAAACGCAUAUAUAUCCUCUUUAUUUGUAUCUGCUUAAGAAGUAAAUUCAACAAGUCAGUAAUGGUAACGUGUGAAAUAAGGAAUCAAACAGUAGAAAAGAACAGACGAAACCCCAUGAACAUUAAAAGAAAGAUACCAAAAACUCAUAUCCUUUGUAUUUGUAUCUGCAUAAGAAGUAAAUUCAACAAGUCAAUAAUGGUAACAAGUGAAUUAAGCUAUCAAACAGUAGAAGAAAAUAAAACCUAAAAAGAUGAUCGGUGCAAAGAAAUUAAUUUCUUCGAAUCCUCCUCUUCCAUAAUGCUUGUAAAUCCUGACAAAAAAAAACACAAAAUUAAGAUUAAGAAAAAAGAACAAGAGACUUCUUGAAAUCCCUUUGAUCUCUUGAUCGAUAGUCUCUGAAACUUCAAUCACCUGUAUCAAUAAAUUUAUCUGAACGUAAUUAAGAAAACCACCCAUGAAAUUUAGAAACCAAAACCCUAAAUAUCAUAAGUAACCUCAUACGCUAGUGGGAACGAUGAUGAUCUUGUCGAUCACAAAACCCUAAUAACUUGCGUAAGUAUAUAAAAAGAAGCAAGCGAUUCAAUUUUAGAAACCGUACCCAGUGGCGGAUCCAGAAAAAUAGUUUACAUGGGGCACAAAUAAUUUAUAAUUAAUAAUAUUAAAAAAUUGAAAAUAUUAUAUCUACUGGUUUCUAAAUAUAAUUAAUUAUAUGUAUUAGAUAAAUUUUAAAAACAUCAAUUUAAUAUUAACUAAAAUAAAUUUCGAUUUACACAUCUAACAAUAUUACACGAAUUUAGAUUCUAAACAUUAAAUAAACUACAAAAAAUAAUAAUCUUCAUUAAUUUACUAGUUUUACUGAAAAUAAUAAUAAAAAUGUAGGUAUUAAUUUUUUUACUGUAGACAAACAUGUCUUAAAACUCCCACCAAACAAAAACAAAAACAUGUCUUAAAAUUUGUUAGUUAAAUUGAAACUAGAAAGAUAACAAUAUAAUGAAAAGAGCAUAGUUUUAUUUAAAAGGAAUAAGAAAAAUACAGUCAAUUAAUUAUAAAAAGAAUUAAAAAUGUAGGAAGAUAUUAAAAAUAGAACAUGGGCUGUGGCAAAGAAAUGAGAAAUCGUUAAAAAAAAAAAAAGCAAACCAAAAAACUGAAAUAAAAGAAUCGAACCCCUUUCCUGAAGUAUAGCAGCAUGGGGCACUUUAGGCCAACUGAGCUAAUAGAAUAAUAUCUGUAAUGUUCAACCGAUAACUAUUUAAUAAGUAGUGUGGGGCACGUGCCCCACCUUAUUAUACUCUAGAUCCGCCCCUGACCGUACCACACCGUAGAAUAGAAGCAACCUGUGAAACAAGAACUGAGAAGAUCGAAUAAAAUCAAUUUUCUUUCAAAUCCUUGGGAAUCAACAAAAAAUAAUUUAGAGAGAUCAAUAAACUAAAUCGCUUGAAACCCAAUCAAAGAACCUCUGCUUUGUAGAAGACGAAAGAAUGAGAAAAUUGGAGACAAAAGAGGUGUGUGCUUUAUUUAUAGUGAGGAGGUACUAAAUCUAACAGUGUAGUGUAGAUCGACUCAAUUCGUAAGGAAAUAGUUAUCAACGGUGGACAUUAGAAAACACAAAGUCGGCUACGCUCCUCUGAGAUUUUCUGACCGUUAGAUUUUUGGCACACGUGUCUCUAUUGUUAAUUCUCUGAGCAUUAUACAUUCGUCUGAGAUUUUUUUACCGUUAUUAGUCUUCUUGGCACAUGUGUCAAUGUUUUGAUUCACUGACAUUUUUACAUUUGACUGAGAUUUUUUUGCCGUUAGAUUUUUGAGCACAUGUGUUGAUUUUCUGGUUCUCUGAAAAUUAUACAUUCUAGGUUUUUAGGUGUUCUGUUGGAUUAGCAUUUAGAUCGAGUUAAAAGUUUAGAACUCUUCUUCAGUCGGUGUCCUUAAAUUUCUGUAGUCUCUUACAAAGGCACAUAAAUAAGAUAAGGGAACUGAAAAACCCCAUAAAUGAAAUAAAAAUUAAAAAAAAUUAGAACAAUGAUACACUUUGCAAUUUGCAACGUCCGGCAUCUAUAUAGAUGUAAUAAACAAUGUUUUCGAAUUUGCCCAAAAAAAAAGAAAAGCAAUGUUUUCAAAAGUAGAGGUGAAUAAACAAAAAAAAAAAAAAAAGGAAAAAAAUCAGAGGUGAACUGAAAAUAAUUAAUUGUAGUUUCUAAUAAAUGUAAUAUUUAUUUAUAUUCUUAGAAAUAUGUGAUAACAUGAACAAAGACAUGCUUGAUUAAAUAAUAGACAAUUUAAACUCAAACCAAAUCAAAUUUUUUAACUAAAAGAAAUGGUUGUUAAAUAUCUAACAUUUUUCAAGGAAGAAACAAGAUGAACCUUGUAUAAUAAUUGACAAAGAAGACAAAAAAAGGGAGCAUAAAGUCGCACCUCAAAAAAUAAAAUAAAAACACUUCCUGGAACCUAAAAGAUACUGCUCAAUUUUCCUUGAGUACCAAGUUUUUUGGUGCAUGAUUCUUAAUUUAUGCCAACUUAAUCUUCAAUUCAACUGAAGAACCAACAACAUUAAUUCAGAUUUGGGCGAGAGGAGAAUUGUUAAGGUUCAUAAAAAAUCAAAUACUAAAGUAUUAGUUUAAGAAGAUGUGAUUAGGUGUUAGACUAUAAUUAAGAGAACUCUCUUCAGUUAUUAUGUAUAGGAUUAAAUGGUAAGCAUAUCAGUAGUCAAAUCUUGAGCAACCAAGUUUAAAAGAAGACUUACGAUAUAUAAUCUUAGCGGUGUCUAAACAGUCAGUUUUUAAAACCGUUGCUAAUUAACUACUAAGUGACCACUGGAAUAUCUUAUUUUAUAUGGGUAAUCAGUAGCUCGGGAUUCAAAAGAGUAAGUAAAACAAGGUCAUGGCUCGUGUUGGUGAGCUUCCAUGAAACUUCAUUCGCCUGUGUAAUAGUGGGAGAUUGAAGAAGUCUUUUGCCCUUUAUUCUCCUUUUGUUAUUCGUAUCUAUAAUAAAACUGAAAUUGAGAGAUUCAAAACAGUGUAUUAAUAGAGGUUUCUGGGCCGGUUUAACUAAACCACUGACUGAAAAAGUUACUUUACCUAUACAAUAACUCAACCUUGAGAGUAAUUUUAUAACAAGAAACACACUAAAAAAAGUGACCUGACAGGAACCAAAGAAUACAGUUGCCCUUUUUCUUUUGACAGCCAACUAAUACAAGUAUGAUUAUAUAGUAACACUGCUUUCUUAAACCUCUUCCAUUACAAGUAGAAUUAGGAAUGUCGAGUUAUGACUAUAAAUACCUCGAUCGAGUUGUGAUCAUAGGCAUGAGCUUUGUGCUUAGUUUUCAGAGAGUUUCUAAACAUUAAUAAAAGGAUCAUACAUACAUACAAGUAUGUUUCAAGCAUAAUCUUACACUUUUCAAAGCAUAUGAUAAGAUGACUUUGAUUAACUUCUUAACUUCAAAAUCUUUCGUCUCGCUCUACAGAUUAGCCAAAAGUGGUGCUAUUUAGCGUCACCACCACUGUUACCGCUUCUUUGACACCAUAAGUUCAAUAAUUUUUAAAUUUCAGACACCCAAUAAAAUAGCGUUUCCUCUCAUUACAUUCCAUUCUCACUUGCGUAAGGUUAAAGACUCUCCUGUGUUGAUAUUAUAAACCACAUCACUACAGAUUGUGUCCUACUCGAAUCUUGAUCGUGACAUAUCAAUCCGAUCCAUUAACAUGCUUGGUGAUCGGCCACAACAGAAACAGUAUACAAGUUCUUAUCUGGAUUUUUAGGAUGAGGUGAAGACAAGAAGAAUAACUUGUCACUAGUCCAGAAGGUGAAAAGAACUCGUGGAUGAGCCAAAGACAUGGUCAUGAACAGCUUUGUGAAAUCUUGACGGCUAAGUAGUAUGGAAGGCGACCAUUAUUUGGAUACGCAACAAAACCAAGCUAUGUAUAUACUUUGAUGGGACUCUCAAGAAUAUAUCGAUAAAGAGAUCGAUUGGGAUUUCGUCUACGUUUUCUCUUCUUGAAGUAGAAGAUUUUGUAUUGGAUUGAAAGAUCGCUAGAUGACCAUCCAAACGAGACGUUCUGCUUCAGUUUUUUUCAUGACGUAUUGGCUACGUUUUAAACCCUAGCUUUUUCGCUAUAGACAGAAUCAAGACGACUUUGGCUCUGUGCUCUUCCUUGAUUUCAACUUAUUUUUGAUAACUUUAACCAGAGAUGAUAAAGUUUCAGUGACAUUCCUGAUACGGUAUAGAGACAGUGCACAACAGAUAUUUGCUUGGAACGCGCCAAGCCAACGCUUGUAUAUUUGCUUUUAUUAACACAAAGAUCACUACAGUGAUUUAUAUGUUUCGGCCCUUACUCAACUUACCCCGCUCAAUAGGAUUGAACCCGACAAAAGCAAAUCUAAGCUGAUUUCUAUCCUAUGCUCACCCGCUCAUGAACAACAAGAAAAGAAAUCAAAACACUCACCCUUCUCAGCCUUUUGUUUUUGGCGGCUUUGAAGUAUACAAUCCUCACCAAUAUAAUCUAGAGUGUCAACCUAUUUCGUGGCUACCUCUAGACUAUUUAUACAGCCACGAGAAAACCCUAUUUGUUAGGAUCUCGCAAUCUUCAUCCUAGGAUAGUCUUGCACACCAAGCUUAUCCUUUCCUUAUAUGUUGUUAGAGAAUAUUCACUAAAUCUCUUCAACAAUAAAGGUCUUCAAAGCACGCCUCUAGGUUAGCUACCACGUCCUUGGAACGUCACAUCUUUAUUUCUAGCGAUGCCAUGUAAGCCCUAGGUGUCCACGUCAGCAAACAGUCUUCUGAUGUCUUCUGAUGUUACAACUGCUUCCUGUUCUGAUCAGCGAUUCGUUCUUCAAACAACUAAUGGUUCACAUCAGCUUCUUUAAUCCUCAGUAAUCAAGCUUCUAAUAUUCCGAUGCGACCUCAUGAUCUACACGACGAGUUGUUCUUCAUAUACCGAGUUGUGCACAUCAGCUUCCUGUUCUGCUACGUCAAUUCAUGCUUCAAUAUCAUCAUCUUAGGCAUCUGAUGUGAUCACACAUCCACUCCUGUUCUGCCAUGUCAGCUCCUGCUUCCAUGUUAGUAACUCAAACGUCUGAUGUGAUCUGAUGCAGCUUUCUGAUCCAGACCGUGAAUGGUUAUGCGUACACGUGCUGAUCCAGAAUCUGCAUCUUCAAUCUCCCCCUUUUUGACUUAGUUUGAUACUCAAGCAACUUCCUAAAGAUAACCUGAAAGUCAAAGACAGAGAGACAAACGGACACAACAACAUACCAAUAUCUAGAAAUGAUCCUAGCAUUAGUACCUCAAACAGAGUGAUGUGUUCAACAUUAUUACAGUUCUAACAAGUCCCAGCAGACUGAUAAAUAUUCUAAUGAAAGAACAGAGAACUGUAACAAAGCAAAACUAUGAUUAAGAACCUAAACAUUAACGACCACAAUGGCCUGCAGCGGAAACCAUGUUCUUAAUAGUUCUCUAAUCAGACUUAACCAUUUGGCAUAUCCAUAAGUACUAUAAACAUAAAAUCAACCAAGUAAUCAAACCGUUAAGUCUCCCCCAUAAACAAUGAUUCUCCCCCUAAAUCAAAGAACGAUUCUUCCCUACAAGUAAAGAUCCCUCAACAUUAGGUAUUUAAAACAUAUCAGGAACCGGAAUCAUUCUCCCCCUGCUUGAGUGCAUAACUAAGUUAAAAAUAAACAGGUGUAUCACAUCAGUAAGCAGAGUUAUGGAAACACUUACCUGAUGACAGUGUUGUUCAACAUGAAGCACUGCAAUGACCAGUCUCAUCGCUUUGAGAUCAUCAGUCAUUCCAACCACAAAGGUUGAGGUUGCUGCUUUCACUAUAGUUGCUGGUUCAACUUGAAAGUCUACGCCAUCAUGUGGAUGAGUCGAGCUAUAGUUGCCUUGCACUACUUCACAUUGUCGUUUGACAAACCACAACCAUGUCAUCAUACAGCACGCCAGUCAUCUGCAUCCUAUGGGUUCGUUCCUCUAUAUCCUCUUAACAGAUGAUAUGCUUUCCUAGAGCUUUCGCAUUAUUUGAGCACACAUGACUGAAAACCAGUCACAUUCCUCCAACAACAUCUUGUACCGUUUUAGAUCUCUGGUUUACUGUAAAUAUCUUUCAUUCUUGCAUAAAAACCAGUUUCUUUGAUUGAUUCUGCACAUAGUCUUGAUGUCCUUGAUCAUCCUCAUGCUCGCAGACUUGUCAUCCACUUCACUACAAUCAACAGAGAGUUGAUCUGUACAAGUGAGAACUCAAAUACCCAGUUCCUGUCAAUAACAUGUACUGUCGUAAUCAGACUCCUGACAUUUGAUGGAUUAGCCCAUAAGUCUCAUACUCCUUCAGGUAUGUCCGGCUCAAUUUCAGACACAGUCCUUAGAAGCCCAUCAGCUUCAUCAUCAUCGCAUGAAGACAAAAUUGUUUUAUCUUCAACGAAUGCAUCAUGAUUCUUAAAUAGGACAUCGCACCUCUGUUUCGCCGAGCAGAGAACCGAACAAAGUCUCAUCACAAUCUGCUGCACCUACAGAUCAUCAGGGAUAAGUUGACUCUUUUCACUCUUCUGUUGGCUCCUAGACACUGAAACAUCAACACUCUUCUGCAUAUUCACCCGACGACACAGAUGAUAGUAGAUUCGUCAAGCAGCUGGUAAGAAACAACUUGUUAUCCGGUAACAUGUUUCAGCUUUCGGCAACAUUCUCGUUGAUCAACCAUGUUGAUCAGAGUUGGGACUUAGUGACAGCUACCAGAUGUAAAGACAGAGACGACCAUGCCAUUCGCUGGUGAACCACAGUCUUCUACUUGGGAAUACACCAGCCUCCGAUACUUUCCCGUGUGGGUUUGAAACAGAUGGGCUUAUGCUUGUUAACCUAACAUAUAUAAUCCUGACAACCACUUAACAGAAACAUUAGUGCACAUUUGCCAGCAAAUCCCUAUUUGAAAAUCAACUCGCUAAUCAACACCAAUUAAUCACAUAGAACUUUUCAUGAUUAUUCAUCAUAUACAAUCACUUUAUCAUGAGCAAAUGAGUGACCCAGAAUGGUAGCAAGCAUGUGAGCAUAUGUAGAUUAAGUUCAGUUUAAAAGUUCUCAUACCUUUGAAGUCUGUUCUGUGUUCUGUGCCAGCCACUUGUUCAGGACUCAGCCAGAAACUGUCACAACCUUAUGAAUCUUCGAAGAGUCAGCUCGGGAUCAGUGGCUAGUCUUUCACACUGUCAUGCCUUUAGUCCAGAACAAUCAAUAUGCCCAGGCAGCUGGAAUUUCCUUUGGAGAGUGCACGAUCAGGAGUGUGUUAAGUCCUUUUUUUUUUUUUUUCUCUUAACACAGCACCUCGGAGUUUCAGAUUCAACGCUCAAGUAUGGUCGCUUUUCAAGCUUCUGACUUUUUCAGGCUUCUAUUGAACCUUCUGAUUUGUAUCAGAAACAUCACUUGUGUUUUCAGUCUCUGAUACCUGUGCAUGCCCUUGAGUUUCUUGUUCAGAACUCCCUCCAGUAGCUUGUACCAGACACAUCACUUGACUUCUCAAUGUCCGGUACCUUUUUGAAUGACAUGCACAUAAAUGCCCCUCCUCAGCUCUUUGACCUCCUAGAACACGACAACAUUUUACUAUUGUAAGGACCGGCAUGACAGGCAGCUCUUUUCCACACACCUUUGAGUUACAGACAGCUGAUCUUCUAUACAUCCUUUGGAAUUUACAUGACCUGUUCCAGUGUCUGUCCCUGUCUUUGAUCAGCACAACUCACAGAACAAGUUAGACCUCACACACACACCAAUAGCUUUUCUCAGAUCUACGAAUCGAUUAAAGUCCAGAGGCUUGGUGAAUAAAUCAGCAAGUUAAAAAAUAUUACUCACAAGCCUAACUACAAUCAGUGUCUCCUCAAUUAAUUCACGAAUCAAGUGAUGCAUUAUGUCAAUAAGUUCAGUUCGUGAAUGUUCAACGGGGAGCAUGGCUAGUUUAAUUGCACUCUUGAAAAAGAAUCAGAGAUCAUACCAUAGUAGUCAGCUGUCGUUUGUUUCAUCAUAAUGGGCUGAGUACAUGAGCUCCCAAGUGUAGUGUCUGAAUCAUUGCUUAUUGUGGGAACAGAAACACUUUGUUGUUGUAGCUCCACCUGUUGUGAUCCUUCAGAAGCGCUCACACUGUGUUGUUGCUGCUCAACCUGUCAUGAUCCUUCAGUAACGCUCACACUGUGUUGUUGCUGCUCAACCUGUCGUGAUCCUUUGGUAACUCUUCCCCCUGAAUCUCUCCUACAUCAUUAUGAAUGGAGUGAUUCUUAUGCACCUGACUGAUUGAGUCUUCAAUAGUUACAGCUUGACUCCUGCUCACAGAUUCAUGAACAGACUCAUUCCCAGAGGACAUAGGUGCAUCAGUUACCUGAUCAUCUGUAUGACACUUAUUCGGAUACGUGCGUAGUGUGACACGAUCCAGGAACUUACAACAGUCAGCUUUGUAGUGAUUCUGACUUCCACAACACCAACACCCUAUUCUUCUUUUCAGAGCUCUGACACUUCGCAAGUUAGUCUUAGCGUUUGAUCUCGUCUUUGCCUUCACAUGUCUGAAGUGUGAACAAUUGCUUACGUUGGUACCUGAAGAUUCGCCAUAGGAAUACAGAUCAUCCUUCUUGAUGUAGACUUGAUUACAUCGGUUACCAUCCUUGUGGAACCUCUUCUGGCGUAUGAGCUGAUUCACACGAUUCUGAAAUCUGUAACAAUCGGUCUUGAUAUGCCCAGGCUUACCGCAGUACCAACAUCCUGUUCCUCGUCCUCCUGAGUAGGUAAAUACAGGACUCUGUUUGGGCGUUCCACUGUGAUUGCAGGAGAGACGUCUGUUUUGCCGGCUUGAUUGUCUCAUACCCUCACUGGUACUAACUGGUUUCACAGGAGAUAUAUACGUCUUUAUAAACUGAGUGCUACAGUUAGGAUUACCUCUGUGAUACGAUGAUGUGCCACACGUCUUCCUGGAUUGAGACCUUGAGAGAUCAGAAGAUUGCGUCUGUCCUAAGUUCUUCGUCUUCACUGAUGAUUCAGGAGCUGAACCGUUUUCCUUGACGAACUUGGUAGUGCCACUAGUUGCUCCUUCCUUAUAUCCCAAGUCAAAUGGUGUGCUGCCUACUCUCCCAUAGCUUAGCCCUCCAUCAAGAUCCUUAGUUCCCAUGCUCAGCAUCCUGAUAUUCUUCAUCUGAUCACUCAACAGUUUUUCCAAACUCGAGUUUUUGAUUUUUUCUUCACUCAGUUCCUUCUCAAGUGUAGAAAUCCUUAUCCGAAUGUUGUCUCUUUCAGAAAUCAAAUCGUGAUUCUCCUUUCUCUUCUCCACCAAGGUCAUCAGAAAAUUGAUAAGUUCUUCAGCCGUCAGGAUCUCUUCUGUGUCUAAAUCAGAUGAAUGAUUUUCAGUACUUGACGUAUCAUUGUCUUCUCCAUCUUUAAUUUCCCUAAGAUGUGCUACAGGGUUGUUGAGGAGUGUUCCUCCAUCAGCCUCCUGCUUGUCAAUAUCGCUCUCACUAGAAGUGACUUCCACUUUACGUUUUGAUUCUGAUCCUUUGACAGAGUCGACUCUAGUGUGACAACGCCCCUUGCACUCAAAGCACUGUAGCGAGUUUCUCUUUUUGAUUGUUGGACAUUCUGAUAUGAGAUGACCGCUUCCUUCACACACAGAACAUUGUUUGUCAGAUUUUCUUUUUUUCUUGUCUGCGGUAAUCUGAUUAUUUGUUGAUACCGGCUUGCAGUGAUCACUCUUCAUCCUCCUUAAAUAUUUUUUGACAAUCAGACCCACUGUAUCUUGCACAUCAUCUUUCUGUUUGUCAGCAGCUACCAGACCACUUCUUUUCCCAAUCGUCUGUUCUUUCUUCUUCAGUUUUAACUCAUAUGCCUACAUCAUCGCAACAACCUGAUCAAAUUUUAAUUCACAAGAGUUCAGAGAUACCUCAAUGGCAGACACGUAUGGUUGGAACUUGGACGACAGACUCUUGAGAAACUUCUUGACAAGCUUCUUAUCCUUGUAUGCUUUUCCCAGCACCACAGCUUCCUGACGAAUGGAAAUCAGUUUGCUGCUGAAGUCGUGAAUAGAUUCACCGUCCUCCAUAGAUAGGUUUUCAAACUCAGACACCAGCAUAUCAAGUCUGGUUUUCUUCACACUGCUGGUUCCUUCAAAUGACACUUGAAGAAUAUCCCAAGCCUCCUUUGCUGAUGUGCAUCUUUGCACCAUAGUGAGCUGGCUCAUGUGCAAGGAACUGAAAAUAGCAGACAGAGCUCUGGCGUUGUACUUAGCCUCUGCCUUUUCAUGAGCCGUCCAUGAUUUCUUAGGUUUUUGACAAACCACUCCCUCAGCACUGGUGGUUGUUGGAUAUGUCCACCCAUCUUCCACUGCGGACCACGCCUUCAUACCAAUGUUCUGUAUCAUCUGUCGCAUCUGCACCUUCCAUUAGCCAUAGUGCUCUGUGUCCAACUUCAGAGAUUCGUUCACCGCAACGAGCUGUUGUGGAUUCUCCAUACCUUGUCACAAGAUCUCACCUGUUUGAAAAAUCAGAACAAAUUUUUACCAGGUGACUGCUCUGAUACCAAUUGAUACGGUAUAGAGACAGUGCACAACAAAUAUUUGCUUGGAACGCGCCAAGCCAACGCUUGUAUAUUUGCUUUUAUUAACACAAAGAUCACUACAGUGAUUUAUAUGUUUCGGCCCUUACUCAACGUACCCCGCUCAAUAGGAUUGAACCCGACAAAAGCAAAUCUAAGCUGAUUUCUAUCCUACGCUCACCCGCUCAUGAACAGCAAGAAAAUAAAUCAAAACACUCACCUUUCUCAGCCUUUUGUUUUUGGCGGCUUUUAAGUAUACAAUCCUCACCAAUAUAAUCUAGAGUGUCAACCUAUUUCGUGGCUACCUCUAGACUAUUUAUACAGCCACGAGAAAACCCUAUUUGUUAGGAUCUCGCAAUCUUCAUCUUAGGAUAGUCUUGCACACCAAGUUUAUCCUUUCCUUAUAUGUUGUUAGAGAAUAUUCACUAAAUCUCUACAACAAUAAAGGUCUUCAAAGCACGCCUCUAGGUUAGCUACCACGUCCUUGGAACGUCACAUCUUUAUUUCUAGCGAUGCCAUGUAAGCCCUAAUUGUCCACGUCAGCAAACAGUCUUCUGAUGUCUUCUGAUGUUACAACUGCUUCCUGUUCUGAUCAGCGAUUCGUUCUUCAAACAACUAAUGGUUCACAUCAGCUUCUUUAAUCCUCAGUAAUCAAGCUUCUAAUAUUCCGAUGCGACCUCAUGAUCUACACGACGAGUUGUUCUUCAUAUACCGAGUUGUGCACAUCAGCUUCCUGUUCUGCUACGUCAAUUCAUGCUUCCAUAUCAUCAUCUUAGGCAUCUGAUGUGAUCACACAUCCACUCCUGUUCUGCCAUGUCAGCUCCUGCUUCCAUGUCAGUAACUCAAACAUCUGAUGUGAUCUGAUGCUGCUUUCUGAUCCAGACCGUGAAUGGUUCUGCGUACACGUGCUGAUCCAGAAUCUGCAUCUUCAAUUCCAUAUAUGAUUUGAUUCAAAUCUACAUCAAUUUUUUUAUUGUUGAUAGAAUUGUGAUUCAUAUAAUUUGUGAGUAGCCUUAUCUUGAAAGCAAUUAUCUUAUCAGAAAAUAUAAAAAUAGUAGAAACAUAAAUUAAACAAUAUUCGAAUUAUGACCUAACUUAGAACCAAAGCUAACUAUUUUAUAAAAAGAUCCCUAAACAUUUACAUAAGAUACACACAUCUUCUACAUAGUCUAAAAAGGUGUGAACUCUUUGAGUGUGAUCAAGUGCUUCAAGACCUUGGAUUCUAACACGUAUGAAAGCGUUCCUCUUGAAAUUGUAGUAGUAAACAUAGAAAGGAUCUGAUAGAUAGAACUGUGGCAACAUAAUUUCACCACUACUUGUGGCUCCAACCAAGCAUAAUUCCGUCAUCCGCGCUUGCGCACGCAACAAAUCAGGCAUCAUGUUGACAAUAUGCAUUGAAAAUUUAUGAUUAUUGGCAUCCUCAAGAACCAAAAACCUAAAACACGUAGCGUUUUUUUUAUCAACUGCACCUAAUUUACCCUUGUAGUUGAUCAAGGUCCAGAAAGAACCUACUAACAUGUUGUUAUCUAAGUUAAUAAAUUUGAAUUCCUCAGACCUAACAUGAAAGCAAACUAUAAGAGAUCAAUUCCCGAACCUCUUUUAACUUCAGCUCGAUAAUACAAAACACCAUUGAUGCAUAUCCCAUCAUAUAAAGGAUAAUGCGCUUUGCAACAUUCAAUCAUUCUCCAAGAAAGUUUUCCAAUCCCUAGUGUCAUAACUUGGUACUUUUCUACUAUAACACCUAAUCCCAAGCAUAAUACCUUGAAAUGUUUGUCGAUAGGAUCAAACCCGAAAUAGCUUCUUGCACCAAUCCACUUCUCUCCCAUUUCAGGUACGUAAGGUUAAAGACUCUCCAGUGACAGGAUUACAAAUCACAACAAUCUUACGAUGAUUAUUGUCUUGAUAUUGACCACAAACAAACCCAUUGAUAGGGAGACUAAUCUGAGAGGGACGAUUUGUUGUGAAUUUCUUAUGAUGAUUAGAACCAACAAAAGACGAGACUACACUAGAAGAGUUCUCAAUAGGAUCUUGAGGUUGAGGUGAUGAGAAGAAUAACAAUGCUUCGAUAGAUUCUUGGAGAACCAGAAGACUUGAUAGAGAGCAAUUCACUGAUAUGUGGACGGCGAAAAAUGGAUGACCAAAGCUUCGAUAUGCAACAAAGCUUAGCUAUAGAUUUCACCGGCAAUCUCGAGAGUAUAUUGUUAACGAGAUCAUUAGGAAGGUCAAAUAUAUUUGAUAUAUUGCAUCGUGAGAUUGUUAGGCCAUCCUCAGAGACUUGUAGAUUGUUCAUGUGGAAUGUUAAACUCUAUAGUCUUAAAGAGAUGAACAAAAGAUGAAAACCAAAGAUAAUAUACUAAAAAACGGAUGUUUUGAUUCACUUUUAUAAUGUCAAUUGAAAAAACGAUGUUAAGAUAAAAAAUAAAAAUUUAACUUAGCAUGUUAAAUAUUGAAUUCUUACGUCAGUUCUAUAAUUGAUGUUAAUGGGCCGAUUCUAGUAUCACUUGUUUAUUUUGAUGUUAACUUAAAAAUAACUACUAGGUCUGGGCAUAUGAGUAUUCGGGUCGGGUUCGGGUUAGAUCCUCUCGGGUUCGGAUAACUUUUUUUUUAAUAGAUUUUAGCCCCGUUCGGGUAUUUUUAAAUUUCGGUUCGGGUUCGGUUCGGGUCCUUUCGGGUUGGGGUCGGUUCUCGACAUAAAGUCGAAUAUCCGUAAAUACCUGGAGACUCUGCCGGUUCCGAUUCGGAUAGGUACUUUGAACCUAAAUUUACCUAAAAAUAUCCAAAAGUAUCCAAAAUAAUCAAAAAAUUAGCUCCGAAUUAUUCAAGUAGUAUUCGAAUUGCGCAAAAUACCCGAAAUAAAUAUAGCUAUAUUGCACUAAAAAUAUAUAAAUUAUCCCAAAAAAUAUCUAAAGCACCCAAAAAAUACUCAAAUUAUUCAAAAUUAUUAAAAAAAAACUGAAAUAUCUUAAAAAAAAAUAUAAUUUUGAGUAGUUGGAUUAUUAUUAAGUAUUUUUGAGAUAUAUACUUGUGUUUCGGGUACCCGUAUUUUUUUCGGAUCGGGUCCGAGUACUUAAAAAAAAAAAAAACUAAAACCCGUUCGGGUAUUUGACCGGUUCCGAUUCGAGUUCGGUUCCUCAUUUUUGAGUCGGGUUCGGGUCGGUUUUUCGGGUCCGAGUAUUUGUGUCCAGGGCUAAUAAUUAGUAUCAAUUUAAAUAAAAAUGACGCUAUUUUUUUUAUUGAGAUUUUAUUUUAUGCGGGAAUAUUGAGAUAAAAAAAAAAAAAAAAAAAUUUUCCAAAAACAAAACACAUAUAAUCGUGAACCCUAGUUCUUUUCUUGUCCAAUUUUCUAGUCUCCAUCGUAUCCUAAAGUUGUCAUAAUUCUUAUAAUUGAUCUUUGUCAAGCCCUUCAAAUCCCAGGUGAAAACGAUUUCAAUUUUCUAUGUUACGACUUCAAUUUUUAUUGGCAACGAAAGUUGGUUCCUGUUUUUCUAAUCGAGUUUGAACUUUUGACCCAGUUACAUAUCUGAUUCAGUGAUUCGGAUUCUCGAGUGACCGAGUUCAAAGGUACCACCUUUCUCUACCCCAUUAACUAAUUUCCCAAGCAUGAACGAAAUCUUCUUACUUGCGUCAUUGUUGGUCUCGAUCGUUUGUUUCAAUUUCAUCUCUGCUCUCAAUCUGUAAUUUUUCAUGAGUUAGAUUCUUGAAUUCGAUAAAUCACUGUGUUGUGUAGAGAAGACUAGAGUUUGCUCUUGUCUUGAGUAUAUGAAAUUGAGAAGAAUAUAUAGUUUCAUUACGAUUAUGUUUCUUUUGAUCUGAAAUUCCAUUAAAUUAAUAUUGAUGAUGAAAUUCAAAAUCCUGUUCAUCGAAUACUGAGUUUGUUUUGAAUCAUUGAUUCGGUGAUAAAUUCAUCUCUUUUGCCUUGUCUCUGAUUUUGGUGACUCUUGAUUGCUUGAAUUUCAAAAGUUUUCUAUAUGAUCUUGGAGAUAUAUGGUGUCAUUGUCCUAAUCGGAUGAGAGCAUUUAUUUUUUGCCUUUACAGUUUCCUCCAUAUCUUGAGCCUAGAAUGGUACCAAAUUAUAUAAAUAAUCAACUCUCUUUUUUUUCAAGCCUUUGUAUCGUUAUUGGUUCAUACAAUCUGAUUGGUUCUUCUUGGUUACGUGACAUAGAUUUCUACGGUUUCGAUCGGUUUUGUUAUGGAUGCUGGAGAUGUGAAUUAAAUUUCUCAUGUAUAAUUUUCUUGUUUUUUCACAGAUGCCGGAGUUGGGGAAGCUUGUUGCUUUCUUUGAUUUCAAAGACGGUAGGGAUGGGUUGCUGCAUUUCAGUGGAAUGACAGCGUGUUCUGAGACGCUGUCAGUUAUUACUCGACGCCGGUUUUGCGUUCAAGCUACUGAUAACACUGGUAAACCAGCAAGUACCACUCCAGCUCGGGACAAAAACAAACCUACAUUAGAUAGAUAUUACAAGUCUGUCUACUUUAUCCUCCACGACAAAUUCUGGAUUGGCCACGGCCUAGUCAAUUCUGAUUGGGCAAAGUUGGAAGAAGAAUUUAAUCAUAUUGGGAAACCAUCUCCUAAGCCCAAAGGAAUAAUUGAUUCAGUUCCCUUCAUUUCGUCUGGGACCAAGGUAUCUAUCUCUGCUUUGGUCUUUGUCAUUUCUUAACUUGUUGAUUUUGUAACAUGAGCUUGUGUUUAACCAAUGAUGCAGCUGGCCCAACUUGCUGUACUCUUUGGCUUGGGUGAGCCAUCACUUGGGUACUAUAACAAUUGCGAAGAAAAUUACGAUGCUAUCAAGCAAUGCAGAGACGCGAUGCCAAUUUUAGAUAUGGAGAAGGAGAAGGAUAUGGGGAGUAAUAUCUAUCCCAUGAUUUCUCAUCUGAGGAAAUUUCAGCAGCCACCAGAAAAAGCAACAACUAAAUCAGCAAGGGGUAGUGAACCAAGAAAAAGUCAAAAACUGGAGGGUAAGGAAAAGGAUUUUCUUGUCACGAAUCAAAUACAAUGUCGUUUAGAAUUCAUAGCUCAGAGUAAUUGUUUUCUUUUGGGUUCAUCUGUUAGGAAAAGAGAAUCCCCCUCGGAAAUCUUUAGCUGAAUCUCCAUCUUCUCUAGAAGAGAGAUUGUUGGUCGCGAUGAAGGUAAAAAAGCUGCUUCUGGAAUUUUGUUCUUUGUUUGUGUGUUUGUCUGAUUUCCGGAUUUGGAGUUGGAAGUGAAUUAAAUCUCUCUCAUGUGUAUUUUUUUUUACCGAUGCUGGAGAGGGAGGACCGUGUUACUUUCUUCGAUUUCAAAAAAGGUAGUAACGGGUUGCUGCAUUUCGGUGGAAUGGAAGUGACUUCCAAGACGCUGGAAUUUAUUACUGAAACCAGGUUUUGCGUUCAAGCUACUCAGAUAAAUGGUAGACCUGCAAGAAACACUCCAGCUUGGUUAAAAAAUGAACCUACAUUAUCUGAAUCCUACAACCGUGUCUACUAUAUGCUCCACAACAAAACCUGGAUUGGCCACGACCUGCGCAAAUCCGAUUUUCCAAUGUUGGAAAAAGAAUGUAAGCAUAUUGGGAAAUCACCACCUAGGCCCAAAGAAAUAAUUGAUACUGUUCCCUUCAUUUCGUCCGGGUCCAAGGUAAUCUAUCUAUCAUCUCUGCUUUGGUCUUUGUCAUUUGGUAACUUGUUUUAUUUUGUAACAUGAGAAAGUUGUGUUUAACACCAGCUGGGCAAACUUGCUGUACUCCUUGGUUUGGGUAAGCCAGCAGCACGGCUGGACUGUAGGAAUUGCCAAGUCAAUUAUAAUGCUAUCAAGAAAUGCAGAGACGCGAUGCCAAUUUUAGAUGUAAGUUUAUUAUAUAAGGCACAAAAAGGUACAGAAAUCCGAAAUUCACUCUUGUUUGUUUUGUUUUUUGGUUUGCAGGUGGAGAUCGAGCAGGAUAAGGAGAGUAAUAUGCAUCCCAUGAUUUCUCUUAUUAAGAAAUAUCAGCAGCCACCAGAAGAAGAAACAAGUAUUCUUUUUGGUCAUGAAGAAGAAACAACUAAAAGGAAAAGUCCUCAAGGAAAAGUCAAAGAUGGGGGAGUAAGGAAAAGUCUAAGACUUAAGGAGGCAAGUCAGAGACUGAAGAAGAAGUCGAUGUAACUUUCUUGACUCAGUUAGCUUCAAAUACAUUAUCAGGUUUCGGUUUUAUGAUGAAUUUUGUCUCCAAUGGUAUUCAUAUGUAUGGAAAUGGGCUCCAAAACUUUCCUUUUACAUCUCUAAGUUAAGAGGUUGGAGGUUAUAAUUUUGAAUUAUUAAGUUGUCAUGUCCCCUCCUCUUUCUAGAAAUUAUGAAUCGGAAGAAUGUUUCUGAAUUGAAAAAUAGCCGGAGGUUUUGGUCCAUUGAGUUACUGCUUCAUUCAUUUUUUCGGUCUACUUUUCGACUUUAAAGUAAGCAGCAUGCAAAAGAAGGCAGGAAAUGUCGUGGGUUUGGUUCAAGAUUUAACCAUUGAGUCAUUUAUUUUGUCGUAUUUUGAAUUAACCGACAACUCAACAUAGCACUUGCUAGAAGGCAAUCAUUUGUAUAUCUCUUAUACAAAAAAGGAUGGUUAUAUUAACUUAUUUGUUAUGGUAAAAAGGAUGGUUAUAUUGGUUUGUGAACAAAUUGAUUUGUUAUUGUAUGGGUGUAUAUAAUUAUUCUCCUUCGCAAAUAGCGAGUUGAAACAUGGAAAAGAAGCCAGUGGAUUUAAAUUGGCUGUACUAAACUGGUUUGUCUUCCGAUAUCCAAACCAGGGGUCAUAAAGUUUUUGGAAUCCUCUGUUUUUUUUUUUUUUUUAAUGAAAGGUAGAUUAUAUGCAAAUAAUGAUUUAAAAAAAUAAUGAGUUUUGAAACUAAAUGUUUUUAGAAACACAGAUUAAAUAAAGGCACGUGCUCUGCAAAUGGCUACCAAAAAUAAUUAAAUCUUACUAUAAAAAACAAAAUAUGAUAAAAACAUAAUUAACUAAAAGAUUCAAUCGAUUGUUUAAUACACUAAAAAUAAUCCUUGUUACGCAUCAAUUUGGUAAGAACUCUUUUUUUUUCUUUUUUUUUUCUUUUCUUUUUGAUAAAUACACACAUAAACUAAAACCCUAACCAAUGGUAACAAACGAACUUUGGAAAAUCAUAUAGAACAAUGUUAAUGAACACAUGCCAUCAAUAAGGAAAGUAACGGCUGCAUACUACUGCACAAAGAGGAAUAACAAAACUUAGCAACAUAGUAACACUAAUAUUAUCACAAAAUAUAAAAACCAAAACAAAGCUCGAAAAGAUUAUUAUACAUGGCACAUGAUUCGGUUCUUUCAACACAAGAGCAAAAAGUUCAGAACAUUUUUUCAUAUUUUCAUACUUUCUACUUACUUCCAGUUGUCUGAACAAGCAAAUAGCUUUAGAAAAAUAUAUUUUUAUUGCCCUCAUUUUUAUGGAUAUUUACACAUAAUUGCUAUUGAAUGAUUAAGGAAUAUUUAUUUUCAAUUAAUUAAAAAAAAUCCAACAUUUCAAUUUUAAAAUAUAUUUUAAUUAUUUUUAUAAUAUAUUUAAUGAUUAUAACAUUAUUAGAUCUAAAACAUUUUCAAAAUCCGAAUUUAUUCACCAAUUAAAAAAAAACUGAUUACUAUUCACAUAUUUAAAAUUUCCAAAAAAAACUAUCAUUACUAUAGGAAAUUGACUUAUUUAAUACCAUUGAUAUAAUAUUUCACGGUGAAACAUAUUCUUACACAAAAAAAAAUAAACGAAAAAAAAAAUCUUGCAUAGAUUGAAGAAAUAGCGGAUAUAUAUUUAGUUGGUACAUAGUAGUUUGAUCUAAACAUAUUCUCACGGGUUAUAUAUUUCGUUUUUACACAAACAAAUUUUAGAUCCUCAAAACUAACUUUACUCAUAACACUAAUUUUAUCUGCGUAGAUUUAUCCUGCACAUAGUGCACGUUGUUACCUAGUGCAAUUAGUAACCAAAAAGUAAAAAGUAAAUAGAACAUAACAAAAAAUGAUUUCUUCAAUUCCUUCUUCCCCCAAUGCUUUCAACCCGUAAAAAUUGAAAAGUAAUUGGAAUGAGAAAGAGAAAAUGAGCAAUUAGAACAGUGCUUCGACUCCUUCUGCUCACAGUGCUCUCAACUCCUAAGAAAAACUUGAAAACUAAUUAGAACGGAAAAGAGAAAAUGAGCAACUGAUCCAAUCAUGUAAAAUACCAACAAAAGAGCUUCACGUCUGGAGAAGAAAUCACUUUCAUAGAUAUACCACUAGGUUCGCUAAAUGUUGUCAAACUAUUUUGAAAACAAAAACAGUUAGUAACCAGAUAAUUAAUCCAGUGAUAUCCAAAAGCGAUAUAUAUUAUCCGAUGUACAAAUGACAUGAUCCUAUAAAAAAUAAGUGAGUUACCUAAUCAAGGGGUGAGAAUCUAGCUACGACCUCGUCAAGACACCUAAUCGAAAUAGAGCCCUGCCAAAGAUGAAGUAAGUAGUCAAGAAAACAAUAAAACAUAAAUUCAAAUUAAACAACAGAGCGCCAACAAACAACCAAAUAAAUCCAAAGAGAGAGGAGCAGAGACAAAGAAACAGAAUAAAGGAAACCAAUCAUUUGAAACUAUUCCUUAAGGCAACUGAACUGGUUUGAGAAAUGUUUCCUUCUGCAAAUUGGAAAACAGAGAAAAAAGAGAGAAUUAAGUAAGCAAACGUUUACAGAAAGUUAUUCACCUAUUCGGAAAAGCUAAAAUCAACAAAACCAAACAAAAAAAAAUUGGAAAAUACUUAAAACCCGUAAAACCAUAAUUAAACAGCCAUAAGACAUUACAUGACAACUGACAAAUCAAACCUCUGCAUCAAUAAUUUAAAAUAACAAAAAAAAAGAAGAAGUAAUUAACACGUAAACAGAAUAAAACCAGAGACACAAUUUAGAAACCAAAACUUAGAAUACAAGUGUUUUAGAAGCUCGACAACCUAAAUCAAGUGGCUAAUAUUAGAAAGAAACAGACGAAACCCCAAAAAGAAAGAGACCAAAAACGCAUAUAUAUCCUCUUUAUUUGUAUCUGCUUAAGAAGUAAAUUCAACAAGUCAGUAAUGGUAACGUGUGAAAUAAGGAAUCAAACAGUAGAAAAGAACAGACGAAACCCCAUGAACAUUAAAAGAAAGAUACCAAAAACUCAUAUCCUUUGUAUUUGUAUCUGCAUAAGAAGUAAAUUCAACAAGUCAAUAAUGGUAACGAGUGAAUUAAGCUAUCAAACAGUAGAAGAAAAUAAAACCUAAAAAGAUGAUCGGUGCAAAGAAAUUAAUUUCUUCGAAUCCUCAUCUUCCAUAAUGCUUGUAAAUCCUGACAAAAAAAAACACAAAAUUAAGAUUAAGAAAAAAGAACAAGAGACUUCUUGAAAUCCCUUUGAUCUCUUGAUCGAUAGUCUCUGAAACUUCAAUCACCUGUAUCAAUAAAUUUAUCUGAACGUAAUUAAGAAAACCACCCAUGAAAUUUAGAAACCAAAACCCUAAAUAUCAUAAGUAACCUCAUACGCUAGUGGGAACGAUGAUGAUCUUGUCGAUCACAAAACCCUAAUAACUUGCGUAAGUAUAUAAAAAGAAGCAAGCGAUUCAAUUUUAGAAACCGUACCCAGUGGCGGAUCCAGAAAAAUAGUUUACAUGGGGCACAAAUAAUUUAUAAUUAAUAAUAUUAAAAAAUUGAAAAUAUUAUAUCUACUGGUUUCUAAAUAUAAUUAAUUAUAUGUAUUAGAUAAAUUUUAAAAACAUCAAUUUAAUAUUAACUAAAAUAAAUUUCGAUUUACACAUCUAACAAUAUUACACGAAUUUAGAUUCUAAACAUUAAAUAAACUACAAAAAAUAAUAAUCUUCAUUAAUUUACUAGUUUUACUGAAAAUAAUAAUAAAAAUGUAGGUAUUAAUUUUUUUACUGUAGACAAACAUGUCUUAAAACUCCCACCAAACAAAAACAAAAACAUGUCUUAAAAUUUGUUAGUUAAAUUGAAACUAGAAAGAUAACAAUAUAAUGAAAAGAGCAUAGUUUUAUUUAAAAGGAAUAAGAAAAAUACAGUCAAUUAAUUAUAAAAAGAAUUAAAAAUGUAGGAAGAUAUUAAAAAUAGAACAUGGGCUGUGGCAAAGAAAUGAGAAAUCGUUAAAAAAAAAAAAAGGAAACCAAAAAACUGAAAUAAAAGAAUCGAACCCCUUUCCUGAAGUAUAGCAGCAUGGGGCACUUUAGGCCAACUGAGCUAAUAGAAUAAUAUCUGUAAUGUUCAACCGAUAACUAUUUAAUAAGUAGUGUGGGGCACGUGCCCCACCUUAUUAUACUCUAGAUCCGCCCCUGACCGUACCACACCGUAGAAUAGAAGCAACCUGUGAAACAAGAACUGAGAAGAUCGAAUAAAAUCAAUUUUCUUUCAAAUCCUUGGGAAUCAACAAAAAAUAAUUUAGAGAGAUCAAUAAACUAAAUCGCUUGAAACCCAAUCAAAGAACCUCUGCUUUGUAGAAGACGAAAGAAUGAGAAAAUUGGAGACAAAAGAGGUGUGUGCUUUAUUUAUAGUGAGGAGGUACUAAAUCUAACAGUGUAGUGUAGAUCGACUCAAUUCGUAAGGAAAUAGUUAUCAACGGUGGACAUUAGAAAACACAAAGUCGGCUACGCUCCUCUGAGAUUUUCUGACCGUUAGAUUUUUGGCACACGUGUCUCUAUUGUUAAUUCUCUGAGCAUUAUACAUUCGUCUGAGAUUUUUUUACCGUUAUUAGUCUUCUUGGCACAUGUGUCAAUGUUUUGAUUCACUGAGAUUUUUACAUUUGACUGAGAUUUUUUUGCCGUUAGAUUUUUGAGCACAUGUGUUGAUUUUCUGGUUCUCUGAAAAUUAUACAUUCUAGGUUUUUAGGUGUUCUGUUGGAUUAGCAUUUAGAUCGAGUUAAAAGUUUAGAACUCUUCUUCAGUCGGUGUCCUUAAAUUUCUGUAGUCUCUUACAAAGGCACAUAAAUAAGAUAAGGAAACUGAAAAACCCCAUAAAUGAAAUAAAAAUUAAAAAAAAUUAGAACAAUGAUACACUUUGCAAUUUGCAACGUCCGGCAUCUAUAUAGAUGUAAUAAACAAUGUUUUCGAAUUGCCCAAAAAAAAAGAAAAGCAANNNNNNNNNNNNNNNNNNNNNNNNNNNNNNNNNNNNNNNNNNNNNNNNNNNNNNNNNNNNNNNNNNNNNNNNNNNNNNNNNNNNNNNNNNNNNNNNNNNNNNNNNNNNNNNNNNNNNNNNNNNNNNNNNNNNNNNNNNNNNNNNNNNNNNNNNNNNNNNNNNNNNNNNNNNNNNNNNNNNNNNNNNNNNNNNNNNNNNNNNNNNNNNNNNNNNNNNNNNNNNNNNNNNNNNNNNNNNNNNNNNNNNNNNNNNNNNNNNNNNNNNNNNNNNNNNNNNNNNNNNNNNNNNNNNNNNNNNNNNNNNNNNNNNNNNNNNNNNNNNNNNNNNNNNNNNNNNNNNNNNNNNNNNNNNNNNNNNNNNNNNNNNNNNNNNNNNNNNNNNNNNNNNNNNNNNNNNNNNNNNNNNNNNNNNNNNNNNNNNNNNNNNNNNNNNNNNNNNNNNNNNNNNNNNNNNNNNNNNNNNNNNNNNNNNNNNNNNNNNNNNNNNNNNNNNNNNNNNNNNNNNNNNNNNNNNNNNNNNNNNNNNNNNNNNNNNNNNNNNNNNNNNNNNNNNNNNNNNNNNNNNNNNNNNNNNNNNNNNNNNNNNNNNNNNNNNNNNNNNNNNNNNNNNNNNNNNNNNNNNNNNNNNNNNNNNNNNNNNNNNNNNNNNNNNNNNNNNNNNNNNNNNNNNNNNNNNNNNNNNNNNNNNNNNNNNNNNNNNNNNNNNNNNNNNNNNNNNNNNNNNNNNNNNNNNNNNNNNNNNNNNNNNNNNNNNNNNNNNNNNNNNNNNNNNNNNNNNNNNNNNNNNNNNNNNNNNNNNNNNNNNNNNNNNNNNNNNNNNNNNNNNNNNNNNNNNNNNNNNNNNNNNNNNNNNNNNNNNNNNNNNNNNNNNNNNNNNNNNNNNNNNNNNNNNNNNNNNNNNNNNNNNNNNNNNNNNNNNNNNNNNNNNNNNNNNNNNNNNNNNNNNNNNNNNNNNNNNNNNNNNNNNNNNNNNNNNNNNNNNNNNNNNNNNNNNNNNNNNNNNNNNNNNNNNNNNNNNNNNNNNNNNNNNNNNNNNNNNNNNNNNNNNNNNNNNNNNNNNNNNNNNNNNNNNNNNNNNNNNNNNNNNNNNNNNNNNNNNNNNNNNNNNNNNNNNNNNNNNNNNNNNNNNNNNNNNNNNNNNNNNNNNNNNNNNNNNNNNNNNNNNNNNNNNNNNNNNNNNNNNNNNNNNNNNNNNNNNNNNNNNNNNNNNNNNNNNNNNNNNNNNNNNNNNNNNNNNNNNNNNNNNNNNNNNNNNNNNNNNNNNNNNNNNNNNNNNNNNNNNNNNNNNNNNNNNNNNNNNNNNNNNNNNNNNNNNNNNNNNNNNNNNNNNNNNNNNNNNNNNNNNNNNNNNNNNNNNNNNNNNNNNNNNNNNNNNNNNNNNNNNNNNNNNNNNNNNNNNNNNNNNNNNNNNNNNNNNNNNNNNNNNNNNNNNNNNNNNNNNNNNNNNNNNNNNNNNNNNNNNNNNNNNNNNNNNNNNNNNNNNNNNNNNNNNNNNNNNNNNNNNNNNNNNNNNNNNNNNNNNNNNNNNNNNNNNNNNNNNNNNNNNNNNNNNNNNNNNNNNNNNNNNNNNNNNNNNNNNNNNNNNNNNNNNNNNNNNNNNNNNNNNNNNNNNUUGAUCUACACGACGAGUUGUUCUUCAUAUACCGAGUUGUGCACAUCAGCUUCCUGUUCUGCUACGUCAAUUCAUGCUUCAAUAUCAUCAUCUUAGGCAUCUGAUGUGAUCACACAUCCACUCCUGUUCUGCCAUGUCAGCUCCUGCUUCCAUGUUAGUAACUCAAACGUCUGAUGUGAUCUGAUGCAGCUUUCUGAUCCAGACCGUGAAUGGUUAUGCGUACACGUGCUGAUCCAGAAUCUGCAUCUUCAAUCUCCCCCUUUUUGACUUAGUUUGAUACUCAAGCAACUUCCUAAAGAUAACCUGAAAGUCAAAGACAGAGAGACAAACGGACACAACAACAUACCAAUAUCUAGAAAUGAUCCUAGCAUUAGUACCUCAAACAGAGUGAUGUGUUCAACAUUAUUACAGUUCUAACAAGUCCCAGCAGACUGAUAAAUAUUCUAAUGAAAGAACAGAGAACUGUAACAAAGCAAAACUAUGAUUAAGAACCUAAACAUUAACGACCACAAUGGCCUGCAGCGGAAACCAUGUUCUUAAUAGUUCUCUAAUCAGACUUAACCAUUUGGCAUAUCCAUAAGUACUAUAAACAUAAAAUCAACCAAGUAAUCAAACCGUUAAGUCUCCCCCAUAAACAAUGAUUCUCCCCCUAAAUCAAAGAACGAUUCUUCCCUACAAGUAAAGAAUCCCUCAACAUUAGGUAUUUAAAACAUAUCAGGAACCGGAAUCAUUCUCCCCCUGCUUGAGUGCAUAACUAAGUUAAAAAUAAACAGGUGUAUCACAUCAGUAAGCAGAGUUAUGGAAACACUUACCUGAUGACAGUGUUGUUCAACAUGAAGCACUGCAAUGACCAGUCUCAUCGCUUUGAGAUCAUCAGUCAUUCCAACCACAAAGGUUGAGGUUGCUGCUUUCACUAUAGUUGCUGGUUCAACUUGAAAGUCUACGCCAUCAUGUGGAUGAGUCGAGCUAUAGUUGCCUUGCACUACUUCACAUUGUCGUUUGACAAACCACAACCAUGUCAUCAUACAGCACGCCAGUCAUCUGCAUCCUAUGGGUUCGUUCCUCUAUAUCCUCUUAACAGAUGAUAUGCUUUCCUAGAGCUUUCGCAUUAUUUGAGCACACAUGACUGAAAACCAGUCACAUUCCUCCAACAACAUCUUGUACCGUUGUAGAUCUCUGGUUUACUGUAAAUAUCUUUCAUUCUUGCAUAAAAACCAGUUUCUUUGAUUGAUUCUGCACAUAGUCUUGAUGUCCUUGAUCAUCCUCAUGCUCGCAGACUUGUCAUCCACUUCACUACAAUCAACAGAGAGUUGAUCUGUACAAGUGAGAACUCAAAUACCCAGUUCCUGUCAAUAACAUGUACUGUCGUAAUCAGACUCCUGACAUUUGAUGGAUUAGCCCAUAAGUCUCAUACUCCUUCAGGUAUGUCCGGCUCAAUUUCAGACACAGUCCUUAGAAGCCCAGCAGCUUCAUCAUCAUCGCAUGAAGACAAAAUUGUUUUAUCUUCAACGAAUGCAUCAUGAUUCUUAAAUAGGACAUCGCACCUCUGUUUCGCCGAGCAGAGAACCGAACAAAGUCUCAUCACAAUCUGCUGCACCUACAGAUCAUCAGGGAUAAGUUGAACUCUUUUCACUCUUCUGUUGGCUCCUAGACACUGAAACAUCAACACUCUUCUGCAUAUUCACCCGACGACACAGAUGAUAGUAGAUUCGUCAAGCAGCUGGUAAGAAACAACUUGUUAUCCGGUAACAUGUUUCAGCUUUCGGCAACAUUCUCGUUGAUCAACCAUGUUGAUCAGAGUUGGGACUUAGUGACAGCUACCAGAUGUAAAGACAGAGACGACCAUGCCAUUCGCUGGUGAACCACAGUCUUCUACUUGGGAACACACCAGCCUCCGAUACUUUCCCGUGUGGGUUUGAAACAGAUGGGCUUAUGCUUGUUAACCUAACAUAUAUAAUCCUGACAACCACUUAACAGAAACAUUAGUGCACAUUUGCCAGCAAAUCCCUAUUUGAAAAUCAACUCGCUAAUCAACACCAAUUAAUCACAUAGAACUUUUCAUGAUUAUUCAUCAUAUACAAUCACUUUAUCAUGAGCAAAUGAGUGACCCAGAAUGGUAGCAAGCAUGUGAGCAUAUGUAGAUUAAGUUCAGUUUAAAAGUUCUCAUACCUUUGAAGUCUGUUCUGUGUUCUGUGCCAGCCACUUGUUCAGGACUCAGCCAGAAACUGUCACAACCUUAUGAAUCUUCGAAGAGUCAGCUCGGGAUCAGUGGCUAGUCUUUCACACUGUCAUGCCUUUAGUCCAGAACAAUCAAUAUGCCCAGGCAGCUGGAAUUUCCUUUGGAGAGUGCACGAUCAGGAGUGUGUUAAGUCCUUUUUUUUUUUUUUUCUCUUAACACAGCACCUCGGAGUUUCAGAUUCAACGCUCAAGUAUGGUCGCUUUUCAAGCUUCUGACUUUUUCAGGCUUCUAUUGAACCUUCUGAUUUGUAUCAGAAACAUCACUUGUGUUUUCAGUCUCUGAUACCUGUGCAUGCCCUUGAGUUUCUUGUUCAGAACUCCCUCCAGUAGCUUGUACCAGACACAUCACUUGACUUCUCAAUGUUCGGUACCUUUUUGAAUGACAUGCACAUAAAUGCCCCUCCUCAGCUCUUUGACCUCCUAGAACACGACAACAUUUUACUAUUGUAAGGACCGGCAUGACAGGCAGCUCUUUUCCACACACCUUUGAGUUACAGACAGCUGAUCUUCUAUACAUCCUUUGGAAUUUACAUGACCUGUUCCAGUGUCUGUCCCUGUCUUUGAUCAGCACAACUCACAGAACAAGUUAGACCUCACACACACACCAAUAGCUUUUCUCAGAUCUACGAAUCGAUUAAAGUCCAGAGGCUUGGUGAAUAAAUCAGCAAGUUAAAAAAUAUUACUCACAAGCCUAACUACAAUCAGUGUCUCCUCAAUUAAUUCACGAAUCAAGUGAUGCAUUAUGUCAAUAAGUUCAGUUCGUGAAUGUUCAACGGGGAGCAUGGCUAGUUUAAUUGCACUCUUGAAAAAGAAUCAGAGAUCAUACCAUAGUAGUCAGCUGUCGUUUGUUUCAUCAUAAUGGGCUGAGUACAUGAGCUCCCAAGUGUAGUGUCUGAAUCAUUGCUUAUUGUGGGAACAGAAACACUUUGUUGUUGUAGCUCCACCUGUUGUGAUCCUUCAGAAGCGCUCACACUGUGUUGUUGCUGCUCAACCUAUCAUGAUCCUUCAGUAACGCUCACACUGUGUUGUUGCUGCUCAACCUGUCGUGAUCCUUUGGUAACUCUUCCCCCUGAAUCUCUCCUACAUCAUUAUGAAUGGAGUGAUUCUUAUGCACCUGACUGAUUGAGUCUUCAAUAGUUACAGCUUGACUCCUGCUCACAGAUUCAUGAACAGACUCAUUCCCAGAGGACAUAGGUGCAUCAGUUACCUGAUCAUCUGUAUGACACUUAUUCGGAUACGUGCGUAGUGUGACACGAUCCAGGAACUUACAACAGUCAGCUUUGUAGUGAUUCUGACUUCCACAACACCAACACCCUAUUCUUCUUUUCAGAGCUCUGACACUUCGCAAGUUAGUCUUAGCGUUUGAUCUCGUCUUUGCCUUCACAUGUCUGAAGUGUGAACAAUUGCUUACGUUGGUACCUGAAGAUUCGCCAUAGGAAUACAGAUCAUCCUUCUUGAUGUAGACUUGAUUACAUCGGUUACCAUCCUUGUGGACCUCUUCUGGCGUAUGAGCUGAUUCACACGAUUCUGAAAUCUGUAACAAUCGGUCUUGAUAUGCCCAGGCUUACCGCAGUACCAACAUCCUGUUCCUCGUCCUCCUGAGUAGGUAAAUACAGGACUCUGUUUGGGCGUUCCACUGUGAUUGCAGGAGAGACGUCUGUUUUGCCGGCUUGAUUGUCUCAUACCCUCACUGGUACUAACUGGUUUCACAGGAGAUAUAUACGUCUUUAUAAACUGAGUGCUACAGUUAGGAUUACCUCUGUGAUACGAUGAUGUGCCACACGUCUUCCUGGAUUGAGACCUUGAGAGAUCAGAAGAUUGCGUCUGUCCUAAGUUCUUCGUCUUCACUGAUGAUUCAGGAGCUGAACCGUUUUCCUUGACGAACUUGGUAGUGCCACUAGUUGCUCCUUCCUUAUAUCCCAAGUCAAAUGGUGUGCUGCCUACUCUCCCAUAGCUUAGCCCUCCAUCGAGAUCCUUAGUUCCCAUGCUCAGCAUCCUGAUAUUCUUCAUCUGAUCACUCAACAGUUUUUCCAAACUCGAGUUUUUGAUUUUUUCUUCACUCAGUUCCUUCUCAAGUGUAGAAAUCCUUAUCCGAAUGUUGUCUCUUUCAGAAAUCAGAUCGUGAUUCUCCUUUCUCUUCUCCACCAAGGUCAUCAGAAAAUUGAUAAGUUCUUCAGCCGUCAGGAUCUCUUCUGUGUCUAAAUCAGAUGAAUGAUUUUCAGUACUUGACGUAUCAUUGUCUUCUCCAUCUUUAAUUUCCCUAAGAUGUGCUACAGGGUUGUUGAGAAGUGUUCCUCCAUCAGCCUCCUGCUUGUCAAUAUCGCUCUCACUAGAAGUGACUUCCACUUUACGUUUUGAUUCUGAUCCUUUGACAGAGUCGACUCCAGUGUGACAACGCCCCUUGCACUCAAAGCACUGUAGCGAGUUUCUCUUUUUGAUUGUUGGACAUUCUGAUAUGAGAUGACCGCUUCCUUCACACACAGAACAUUGUUUGUCAGAUUUUCUUUUUUUCUUGUCUGCGGUAAUCUGAUUAUUUGUUGAUACCGGCUUGCAGUGAUCACUCUUCAUCCUCCUUAAAUAUUUUUUGACAAUCAGACCCACUGUAUCUUGCACAUCAUCUUUCUGUUUGUCAGCAGCUACCAGACCACUUCUUUUCCCAAUCGUCUGUUCUUUCUUCUUCAGUUUUAACUCAUAUGCCUACAUCAUCGCAACAACCUGAUCAAAUUUUAAUUCACAAGAGUUCAGAGAUACCUCAAUGGCAGACACGUAUGGUUGGAACUUGGACGACAGACUCUUGAGAAACUUCUUGACAAGCUUCUUAUCCUUGUAUGCUUUUCCCAGCACCACAGCUUCCUGACGAAUGGAAAUCAGUUUGCUGCUGAAGUCGUGAAUAGAUUCACCGUCCUCCAUAGAUAGGUUUUCAAACUCAGACACCAGCAUAUCAAGUCUGGUUUUCUUCACACUGCUGGUUCCUUCAAAUGACACUUGAAGAAUAUCCCAAGCCUCCUUUGCUGAUGUGCAUCUUUGCACCAUAGUGAGCUGGCUCAUGUGCAAGGAACUGAAAAUAGCAGACAGAGCUCUGGCGUUGUACUUAGCCUCUGCCUUUUCAUGAGCCGUCCAUGAUUUCUUAGGUUUUUGACAAACCACUCCCUCAGCACUAGUGGUUGUUGGAUAUGUCCACCCAUCUUCCACUGCGGACCACGCCUUCAUACCAAUGUUCUGUAUCAUCUGUCGCAUCUGCACCUUCCAUUAGCCAUAGUGCUCUGUGUCCAACUUCAGAGAUUCGUUCACCGCAACGAGCUGUUGUGGAUUCUCCAUACCUUGUCACAAGAUCUCACCUGUUUGAAAAAUCAGAACAAAUUUUUACCAGGUGACUGCUCUGAUACCAAUUGAUACGGUAUAGAGACAGUGCACAACAGAUAUUUGCUUGGAACGCGCCAAGCCAACGCUUGUAUAUUUGCUUUUAUUAACACAAAGAUCACUACAGUGAUUUAUAUGUUUCGGCCCUUACUCAACGUACCCCGCUCAAUAGGAUUGAACCCGACAAAAGCAAAUCUAAGCUGAUUUCUAUCCUACGCUCACCCGCUCAUGAACAGCAAGAAAAGAAAUCAAAACACUCACCUUUCUCAGCCUUUUGUUUUUGGCGGCUUUUAAGUAUACAAUCCUCACCAAUAUAAUCUAGAGUGUCAACCUAUUUCGUGGCUACCUCUAGACUAUUUAUACAGCCACGAGAAAACCCUAUUUGUUAGGAUCUCGCAAUCUUCAUCUUAGGAUAGUCUUGCACACCAAGUUUAUCCUUUCCUUAUAUGUUGUUAGAGAAUAUUCACUAAAUCUCUACAACAAUAAAGGUCUUCAAAGCACGCCUCUAGGUUAGCUACCACGUCCUUGGAACGUCACAUCUUUAUUUCUAGCGAUGCCAUGUAAGCCCUAAUUGUCCACGUCAGCAAACAGUCUUCUGAUGUCUUCUGAUGUUACAACUGCUUCCUGUUCUGAUCAGCGAUUCGUUCUUCAAACAACUAAUGGUUCACAUCAGCUUCUUUAAUCCUCAGUAAUCAAGCUUCUAAUAUUCCGAUGCGACCUCAUGAUCUACACGACGAGUUGUUCUUCAUAUACCGAGUUGUGCACAUCAGCUUCCUGUUCUGCUACGUCAAUUCAUGCUUCCAUAUCAUCAUCUUAGGCAUCUGAUGUGAUCACACAUCCACUCCUGUUCUGCCAUGUCAGCUCCUGCUUCCAUGUCAGUAACUCAAACAUCUGAUGUGAUCUGAUGCUGCUUUCUGAUCCAGACCGUGAAUGGUUCUGCGUACACGUGCUGAUCCAGAAUCUGCAUCUUCAAUUCCAUAUAUGAUUUGAUUCAAAUCUACAUCAAUUUUUUUAUUGUUGAUAGAAUUGUGAUUCAUAUAAUUUGUGAGUAGCCUUAUCUUGAAAGCAAUUAUCUUAUCAGAAAAUAUAAAAAUAGUAGAAACAUAAAUUAAACAAUAUUCGAAUUAUGACCUAACUUAGAACCAAAGCUAACUAUUUUAUAAAAAGAUCCCUAAACAUUUACAUAAGAUACACACAUCUUCUACAUAGUCUAAAAAGGUGUGAACUCUUUGAGUGUGAUCAAGUGCUUCAAGACCUUGGAUUCUAACACGUAUGAAAGCGUUCCUCUUGAAAUUGUAGUAGUAAACAUAGAAAGGAUCUGAUAGAUAGAACUGUGGCAACAUAAUUUCACCACUACUUGUGGCUCCAACCAAGCAUAAUUCCGUCAUCCGCGCUUGCGCACGCAACAAAUCAGGCAUCAUGUUGACAAUAUGCAUUGAAAAUUUAUGAUUAUUGGCAUCCUCAAGAACCAAAAACCUAAAACACGUAGCGUUUUUUUUAUCAACUGCACCUAAUUUACCCUUGUAGUUGAUCAAGGUCCAGAAAGAACCUACUAACAUGUUGUUAUCUAAGUUAAUAAAUUUGAAUUCCUCAGACCUAACAUGAAAGCAAACUAUAAGAGAUCAAUUCCCGAACCUCUUUUAACUUCAGCUCGAUAAUACAAAACACCAUUGAUGCAUAUCCCAUCAUAUAAAGGAUAAUGCGCUUUGCAACAUUCAAUCAUUCUCCAAGAAAGUUUUCCAAUCCCUAGUGUCAUAACUUGGUACUUUUCUACUAUAACACCUAAUCCCAAGCAUAAUACCUUGAAAUGUUUGUCGAUAGGAUCAAACCCGAAAUAGCUUCUUGCACCAAUCCACUUCUCUCCCAUUUCAGGUACGUAAGGUUAAAGACUCUCCAGUGACAGGAUUACAAAUCACAACAAUCUUACGAUGAUUAUUGUCUUGAUAUUGACCACAAACAAACCCAUUGAUAGGGAGACUAAUCUGAGAGGGACGAUUUGUUGUGAAUUUCUUAUGAUGAUUAGAACCAACAAAAGACGAGACUACACUAGAAGAGUUCUCAAUAGGAUCUUGAGGUUGAGGUGAUGAGAAGAAUAACAAUGCUUCGAUAGAUUCUUGGAGAACCAGAAGACUUGAUAGAGAGCAAUUCACUGAUAUGUGGACGGCGAAAAAUGGAUGACCAAAGCUUCGAUAUGCAACAAAGCUUAGCUAUAGAUUUCACCGGCAAUCUCGAGAGUAUAUUGUUAACGAGAUCAUUAGGAAGGUCAAAUAUAUUUGAUAUAUUGCAUCGUGAGAUUGUUAGGCCAUCCUCAGAGACUUGUAGAUUGUUCAUGUGGAAUGUUAAACUCUAUAGUCUUAAAGAGAUGAACAAAAGAUGAAAACCAAAGAUAAUAUACUAAAAAACGGAUGUUUUGAUUCACUUUUAUAAUGUCAAUUGAAAAAACGAUGUUAAGAUAAAAAAUAAAAAUUUAACUUAGCAUGUUAAAUAUUGAAUUCUUACGUCAGUUCUAUAAUUGAUGUUAAUGGGCCGAUUCUAGUAUCACUUGUUUAUUUUGAUGUUAACUUAAAAAUAACUACUAGGUCUGGGCAUAUGAGUAUUCGGGUCGGGUUCGGGUUAGAUCCUCUCGGGUUCGGAUAACUUUUUUUUUAAUAGAUUUUAGCCCCGUUCGGGUAUUUUUAAAUUUCGGUUCGGGUUCGGUUCGGGUCCUUUCGGGUUGGGGUCGGUUCUCGACAUAAAGUCGAAUAUCCGUAAAUACCUGGAGACUCUGCCGGUUCCGAUUCGGAUAGGUACUUUGAACCUAAAUUUACCUAAAAAUAUCCAAAAGUAUCCAAAAUAAUCAAAAAAUUAGCUCCGAAUUAUUCAAGUAGUAUUCGAAUUGCGCAAAAUACCCGAAAUAAAUAUAGCUAUAUUGCACUAAAAAUAUAUAAAUUAUCCCAAAAAAUAUCUAAAGCACCCAAAAAAUACUCAAAUUAUUCAAAAUUAUUAAAAAAAAACUGAAAUAUCUUAAAAAAAAAUAUAAUUUUGAGUAGUUGGAUUAUUAUUAAGUAUUUUUGAGAUAUAUACUUGUGUUUCGGGUACCCGUAUUUUUUUCGGAUCGGGUCCGAGUACUUAAAAAAAAAAAAAACUAAAACCCGUUCGGGUAUUUGACCGGUUCCGAUUCGAGUUCGGUUCCUCAUUUUUGAGUCGGGUCGGGUUCGGGUCGGUUUUUCGGGUCCGAAUAUUUGUGUCCAGGGCUAAUAAUUAGUAUCAAUUUAAAUAAAAAUGACGCUAUUUUUUUUAUUGAGAUUUUAUUUUACGCGGGAAUAUUGAGAUAAAAAAAAAAAAAAAAAAAAUUUCCAAAAACAAAACACAUAUAAUCGUGAACCCUAGUUCUUUUCUUGUCCAAUUUUCUAGUCUCCAUCGUAUCCUAAAGUUGUCAUAAUUCUUAUAAUUGAUCUUUGUCAAGCCCUUCAAAUCCCAGGUGAAAACGAUUUCAAUUUUCUAUGUUACGACUUCAAUUUUUAUUGGCAACGAAAGUUGGUUCCUGUUUUUCUAAUCGAGUUUGAACUUUUGACCCAGUUACAUAUCUGAUUCAGUGAUUCGGAUUCUCGAGUGACCGAGUUCAAAGGUACCACCUUUCUCUACCCCAUUAACUAAUUUCCCAAGCAUGAACGAAAUCUUCUUACUUGCGUCAUUGUUGGUCUCGAUCGUUUGUUUCAAUUUCAUCUCUGCUCUCAAUCUGUAAUUUUUCAUGAGUUAGAUUCUUGAAUUCGAUAAAUCACUGUGUUGUGUAGAGAAGACUAGAGUUUGCUCUUGUCUUGAGUAUAUGAAAUUGAGAAGAAUAUAUAGUUUCAUUACGAUUAUGUUUCUUUUGAUCUGAAAUUCCAUUAAAUUAAUAUUGAUGAUGAAAUUCAAAAUCCUGUUCAUCGAAUACUGAGUUUGUUUUGAAUCAUUGAUUCGGUGAUAAAUUCAUCUCUUUUGCCUUGUCUCUGAUUUUGGUGACUCUUGAUUGCUUGAAUUUCAAAAGUUUUCUAUAUGAUCUUGGAGAUAUAUGGUGUCAUUGUCCUAAUCGGAUGAGAGCAUUUAUUUUUUGCCUUUACAGUUUCCUCCAUAUCUUGAGCCUAGAAUGGUACCAAAUUAUAUAAAUAAUCAACUCUCUUUUUUUUCAAGCCUUUGUAUCGUUAUUGGUUCAUACAAUCUGAUUGGUUCUUCUUGGUUACGUGACAUAGAUUUCUACGGUUUCGAUCGGUUUUGUUAUGGAUGCUGGAGAUGUGAAUUAAAUUUCUCAUGUAUAAUUUUCUUGUUUUUUCACAGAUGCCGGAGUUGGGGAAGCUUGUUGCUUUCUUUGAUUUCAAAGACGGUAGGGAUGGGUUGCUGCAUUUCAGUGGAAUGACAGCGUGUUCUGAGACGCUGUCAGUUAUUACUCGACACCGGUUUUGCGUUCAAGCUACUGAUAACACUGGUAAACCAGCAAGUACCACUCCAGCUCGGGACAAAAACAAACCUACAUUAGAUAGAUAUUACAAGUCUGUCUACUUUAUCCUCCACGACAAAUUCUGGAUUGGCCACGGCCUAGUCAAUUCUGAUUGGGCAAAGUUGGAAGAAGAAUUUAAUCAUAUUGGGAAACCAUCUCCUAAGCCCAAAGGAAUAAUUGAUACAGUUCCCUUCAUUUCGUCUGGGACCAAGGUAUCUAUCUCUGCUUUGGUCUUUGUCAUUUCUUAACUUGUUGAUUUUGUAACAUGAGCUUGUGUUUAACCAAUGAUGCAGCUGGCCCAACUUGCUGUACUCUUUGGCUUGGGUGAGCCAUCACUUGGGUACUAUAACAAUUGCGAAGAAAAUUACGAUGCUAUCAAGCAAUGCAGAGACGCGAUGCCAAUUUUAGAUAUGGAGAAGGAGAAGGAUAUGGGGAGUAAUAUCUAUCCCAUGAUUUCUCAUCUGAGGAAAUUUCAGCAGCCACCAGAAAAAGCAACAACUAAAUCAGCAAGGGGUAGUGAACCAAGAAAAAGUCAAAAACUGGAGGGUAAGGAAAAGGAUUUUCUUGUCACGAAUCAAAUACAAUGUCGUUUAGAAUUCAUAGCUCAGAGUAAUUGUUUUCUUUUGGGUUCAUCUGUUAGGAAAAGAGAAUCCCCCUCGGAAAUCUUUAGCUGAAUCUCCAUCUUCUCUAGAAGAGAGAUUGUUGGUCGCGAUGAAGGUAAAAAAGCUGCUUCUGGAAUUUUGUUCUUUGUUUGUGUGUUUGUCUGAUUUCCGGAUUUGGAGUUGGAAGUGAAUUAAAUCUCUCUCAUGUGUAUUUUUUUUUACCGAUGCUGGAGAGGGAGGACCGUGUUACUUUCUUCGAUUUCAAAAAAGGUAGUAACGGGUUGCUGCAUUUCGGUGGAAUGGAAGUGACUUCCAAGACGCUGGAAUUUAUUACUGAAACCAGGUUUUGCGUUCAAGCUACUCAGAUAAAUGGUAGACCUGCAAGAAACACUCCAGCUUGGUUAAAAAAUGAACCUACAUUAUCUGAAUCCUACAACCGUGUCUACUAUAUGCUCCACAACAAAACCUGGAUUGGCCACGACCUGCGCAAAUCCGAUUUUCCAAUGUUGGAAAAAGAAUGUAAGCAUAUUGGGAAAUCACCACCUAGGCCCAAAGAAAUAAUUGAUACU